This 465-nucleotide ribosomal RNA is filed under the name Vreelandella stevensii. RNAcentral describes it as "partial 16S ribosomal RNA". It matches the Rfam family "Bacterial small subunit ribosomal RNA", at positions 338 to 795 of the family's 1533-position model. Lineage: Bacteria; Pseudomonadati; Pseudomonadota; Gammaproteobacteria; Oceanospirillales; Halomonadaceae. The record is from RNAcentral.
CCUACGGGGUGCUGCAGUGGGGAAUAUUGGACAAUGGGCGAAAGCCUGAUCCAGCCAUGCCGCGUGUGUGAAGAAGGCCUUCGGGUUGUAAAGCACUUUCAGUGGGGAAGAAAGCCUUGGGGCUAAUACCCUCGAGGAAGGACAUCACCCACAGAAGAAGCACCGGCUAACUCCGUGCCAGCAGCCGCGGUAAUACGGAGGGUGCGAGCGUUAAUCGGAAUUACUGGGCGUAAAGCGCGCGUAGGCGGUCUGAUAAGCCGGUUGUGAAAGCCCCGGGCUCAACCUGGGAACGGCAUCCGGAACUGUCAGGCUAGAGUGCAGGAGAGGAAGGUAGAAUUCCCGGUGUAGCGGUGAAAUGCGUAGAGAUCGGGAGGAAUACCAGUGGCGAAGGCGGCCUUCUGGACUAACACUGACGCUGAGGUGCGAAAGCGUGGGUAGCAAACAGGAUUAGAUACCCGAGUAGUC